This 1890-nucleotide long non-coding RNA is filed under the name Homo sapiens (human). Its description in RNAcentral is "HSALNT0018347". Lineage: Eukaryota; Metazoa; Chordata; Mammalia; Primates; Hominidae. The record is from RNAcentral.
CAGAAUCACAAACCCACCACUGGGGCCCAAGAGCAGCACACACCAACCAUCACCACCACCUGGACACUAAAACUCCCAUUCCUGCCCCCACUCCCAGCCUGUUUCUCUCCCCUACCCCACAGCAGGCACAAAGGGAUCCCUGAAGGAACUUCUGAAUUCACAAGCCUCUUGCAAGCGCCCCUCCACCCCACCCAGAAAGGCACCAGGGCUCUCCACUCUGUGCCGGAUGCCCCUAGCUGAGCCACAGUGUCCCCAGAGCCUUGCCCUAGCUCUGGAUAAAACCGAAGCUGUCAGCAUGCUAAUUAGGACCUUGAGAGGGUGGGCUCAUGGACUGACAAUUAAUAACUCCAUCUCUCUGUUUCCUGCUGGCAUAUUAUUAAUUCAUCGGGCCUCUCCAGUGGGGCCAGAGAGAUAACACAGACUGUGAAAGUUCACAUUUCAAUUUGAGGCUGAGAUGCUGAGGAGGGGUGUUGAGAGAAGUGCCAGUCCUCCGGAGAGUGAGGGCAUAGCGUGGGAAAGACUUGUCCACAGUCCCACUUCUAGGACUUGACCCUACAGAAAUGAAAGUGCACAUCCUAAAGGCAUGUAGGGGAGGCUUACUACAGCACAGCUGGUAACUGCAAAGCAACUGGGAACAUCCAUUGAUAGGGUUGCUGGAAUAAACUGUGGUUCAGUCAUGCUGAGGAAUACUCUGCAGCGUGAAAGAGAUGUUAUGGACAUCUUUCCAGAAAUGGCCAAAGAAAGAUGCACACCAUAUCCUGUAAUUUUUAAAAACUAAAAGAAUAAGAGCAAAACAAAGACCUAUAUGUGUAAUAUAAUUUCAUGUUCAUCACAGAAAGAGGGAAGGGGAGGAGGGAGGGAGGGAGGGGGAAUUUUUCCCAGCUUAAGUAUAAACACAGGGGAAAGAAGCAACCAUAACAGAUGGCAGCUGGGGGAGGGGCUGAGAUGAGAGAGGAGUUGAGAUGGGGAGAGGUUGAGGUGGGGGAGGGGUUGAGAUGGAGGAGGAGUUGAGAUGGGGGAGGAGUUGCAAUGGUAGAGGAGUUGAGGUGGGGGAAGGGUUGAAGUUGGAGAGGAGUUGAGGUGGGGGAGGGGUUGAAGUUGGGGAGGGGUUGAGAUGGAGGAGGAGUUGAGGUAGAGAGCAGUUGAGAUGGGGAAGUCUUGAGAUGGGGAAGGGUUGAGGUGGGAGGGGUUAGGAUGAGGAAGAGGCUGAGAUGAGGGAGAAGUUGAGGUGGAGGGGGUUGAGAUGGAGAAGGAAUGAGGUGAGGAGGGGUUAAGAUGGGGGAGGAGUUGAGAUGGCGGUGGAAUUGAGAUGGGAGGGGUUGGGACGGGCAGGGGUAGAGAUAGGGAAGGAGUUGAGAUGAGUGAGGUUGAGAUGGGGCAGAGGUUGAGAUGGGUGAGGGUUGAGAUGGGUGUGGUGAGAUGGGUAGAGUUCAGAUGAGGUAGGCUUGAGAUGGGGAGAGGGUGAAAUAGGGAGGGGGUUGAGUUGUGAAGGGGUUGAGAUUGACAGGGGUUGAGACGGGAAGGGGCUGAGUUGUGAAGGGGUUGAGAUGGGAAGGGGUUGAGAUGGGAAGGGGUUGAGUUGUGAAGGGGUUGAAUUGUAAAGGGGUAGAGAUGGGAAGGGGUUGAGAUGGGAAGGGGUUGAGUUGGGAAGGGGUUGAGAUGGGAAGGGAUUGAGUUGUGAAGGGGUUAAGUUGUGAAGUGGUUGAGAUGGGAAGGGGUUCUGUUGUUAAGGGGUUGAGUUGUGAAGGGGUUGAGACAGGAAGGGGUUGAGUUUUGAAGGGAAUGAGAUGGGAAGGGGUUGAGUUGUGAUGGGGCCAUGAUGGGAAUGGGGUUGAGUUGUGAAGGGGUUGAGUUGUGAAGUGGCUGAGAUGGGAAGCGGUUGAGAUGGGA